Molecule: ribosomal RNA, 301 nt
Filed under: uncultured bacterium
Lineage: Bacteria
Description: partial 16S ribosomal RNA
Rfam family: Bacterial small subunit ribosomal RNA
Source: RNAcentral
CAGCCGCCACGGUAAAACGAAGGGUGCAAGCGUUAAUCGGAAUUACUGGGCGUAAAGCGUGCGUAGGCGGUGAGUUAAGUCUGCUGUGAAAGCCCUGGGCUCAACCUGGGAAUUGCAGUGGAUACUGGGUCACUAGAGUGUGGUAGAGGAUAGUGGAAUUUCCGGUGUAGCAGUGGAAUGCGUAGAGAUCGGAAGGAACAUCUGUGGCGAAGGCGACUAUCUGGGCCAACACUGACACUGAGGCACGAAAGCGUGGGGAGCAAACAGGAUUAGAUACCCCGGUAGUCCCUGUCUCUUAUAC